Molecule: unclassified non-coding RNA, 1397 nt
Filed under: Hevea brasiliensis (rubber tree)
Lineage: Eukaryota; Viridiplantae; Streptophyta; Magnoliopsida; Malpighiales; Euphorbiaceae
Source: RNAcentral
CAGAGAAUUUGAUUCCAGAAGCCGAACUGCCUCCUGCCGAAUUCUUCAAGCUUCUAGCCCCCUCUAGACUCUGUAGAUUCUUCCCAUAGAAGAAAAGAGAGAGAAAACAGUGCAUAUUUAUUCAAUGGAUGCCGCUAAGAUAGCAGACCUUAAGCAAUUUGUUGAUCACUGCAAGUCUAACCCUUCUAUACUCCACGACCCAUCUCUUACUUUCUUCAGAACCUAUCUUCACAGCCUGGGUGCUCGAAUUCCACCUCAAACUAAAUCGGAGAAAGGUGAUAUUGACAUGUCCAACUCUAAUGAAGACUUUAAUGACCAGAGAUCAAGUGAAGAGGGUGAUAACAUAAUAGAGUCUGACAUUGAAUUAGAUGAUAGUGACAUUGUGGAACCUGACAAUGAUCCUCCGCAAAAGAUGGGAAACCCUGCAAUUGAAGUUACAGAAGAAAAGCAGGAUGCUGCACAAACAGAAAAAGUAAAAGCCAUGGAAGCAAUCUCUGAAGGCAAGCUUGGUGAUGCCAUAGUUCACCUAACAGAGGCUAUAACAUUGAAUCCCACUUCAGCAAUAUUAUAUGCAACUAGAGCUAGUGUUUUUGUUAAACUGAAGAAACCAAAUGCUGCAAUACGUGAUGCUAAUGCUGCUCUAGAGAUCAACCCCGGACUCUGCUAAAGGAUAUAAAGUACAGGGAAUAGCAAGGGCCAUGCUGGGCCAAUGGGAAGAAGCAGCAAGUGACCUGCAUGUAGCAUCAAAGUUGGAUUAUGAUGAGGAGAUUGCUUUGGUUCUAAAAAAGGUUGAAACUAAUGCACGCAAAAUUCAAGAGCAUCGUCGAAAAUAUGAACGCUUGAGAAAAGAAAGGGAGCUAAAGAAAGCUGAACGGGAGAGACAACAGCGAGUUGAAGCCCAAGGACGAGAAGCUUUAUCUGCUUUAAAGGAGGGGCAAGUAAUAGGCAUCCAUUCUACCAGUGAGUUGGAAACCAAAUUGAAUGCUGCUUCAAGAACAUCUCGCCUUGCAAUCCUGUAUUUUACAGCAACAUGGUGUGGGCCUUGUCGUUACAUUUCUCCUCUUUUUACAAAUUUAGCUACAAAGUACCCUAAAACUGUAUUCUUGAAAGUUGACAUCGAUGAGGCUAGGGAUGUGGCUGCGAAAUGGAAUAUUAGCAGUGUUCCUACAUUUUUCUUCAUAAAGAAUGGCAAGGAGAUCGACAAAGUUGUGGGUGCUGAUAAAAAUGGACUUGAGAGGAAGAUUGAACAAUAUGCAUCCUAGGCCUGAGUUAAAUAUCUGUAAGAACCUCAUAACUUGUGUUUCUUCCGUCCUUUAGGCUCUGUGAGCAUCACUAGUCUUACAAAUGGGAUAAACUUGUGAGAAGAUUGUCGUGUUUCAUAAUAAAAUGACCUGCCC